GGAGGUUGAGGUCGAAAGCGAAAGGGAACGUCUUCGCCUGCGGCGGAGGAGAGCGAUAGUCCGGGUGGAGAUCUACGACGGAGGAGGAGUCGGAGUCGCUCUGCACGGCGACGGCGGGCGGCGGCUGGAAGCAGGCGACGAACAUCGGCGGGCAAAGGGCCAGCUGGCGGUUAUUCGUGGCCGACUUUGCGUCCAGGAAAAAGAACUGCUGGGCCGACGGGGCGGCGGUUGGGUAUGACUGAAAGGGGAAGCGACCGCCGGUUCCGCCGCGGUAGAGGAGGCCCAGAUCGAGGGAGGGUGGGAGCGGAACAGCGAGUGGAGGCACCGCCGCCGCAGCCACCUCGCGGCCUGAGGAUUCCACGGUGCUGCUCUGGCUACUGGGGCUGCCAGUGGCAGCCGGGACGGCGCUGGGGCUGCUGCAGGCGUCUGAGAAGGCGAAGUUGGUCUUGGCCUUGGCGCCGCGGAAAUCGCGGGCGGCGUUGUCGUAGGCUCUGGCGGCCUCCUCUGCGGUGUCGAAGGUGCCGAGCCAGACUCGGGUCUUCUUGCUGGGGUCGCGUAUCUCGGCGGCGUACCGGCCCCACGGCCGCUUCCUCACCCCUCGGAAACGCAUCUCCUUCCCUUCACCGUCGGCGACGGUGCUGAGCUUCCCCCUUGGAGCCAUGGAAAAGGAACCAAACUCACGCCUUUCUUUCGACUGUUCGAUC
Molecule: long non-coding RNA, 704 nt
Filed under: Musa acuminata (dwarf banana)
Lineage: Eukaryota; Viridiplantae; Streptophyta; Magnoliopsida; Zingiberales; Musaceae
Description: long non-coding RNA (MACU_LNC004528)
Source: RNAcentral